RNAcentral lists this ribosomal RNA (536 nucleotides) under Penicillium commune. RNAcentral describes it as "eukaryotic LSU rRNA". The stretch from base 179 to 331 matches the Rfam family "5.8S ribosomal RNA". Lineage: Eukaryota; Fungi; Ascomycota; Eurotiomycetes; Eurotiales; Aspergillaceae. The record is from RNAcentral.
UACCGAGUGAGGGCCCUCUGGGUCCAACCUCCCACCCGUGUUUAUUUUACCUUGUUGCUUCGGCGGGCCCGCCUUAACUGGCCGCCGGGGGGCUCACGCCCCCGGGCCCGCGCCCGCCGAAGACACCCUCGAACUCUGUCUGAAGAUUGAAGUCUGAGUGAAAAUAUAAAUUAUUUAAAACUUUCAACAACGGAUCUCUUGGUUCCGGCAUCGAUGAAGAACGCAGCGAAAUGCGAUACGUAAUGUGAAUUGCAAAUUCAGUGAAUCAUCGAGUCUUUGAACGCACAUUGCGCCCCCUGGUAUUCCGGGGGGCAUGCCUGUCCGAGCGUCAUUGCUGCCCUCAAGCCCGGCUUGUGUGUUGGGCCCCGUCCUCCGAUCUCCGGGGGACGGGCCCGAAAGGUAGCGGCGGCACCGCGUCCGGUCCUCGAGCGUAUGGGGCUUUGUCACCCGCUCUGUAGGCCCGGCCGGCGCUUGCCGAUCAACCCAAAUUUUUAUCCAGGUUGACCUCGGAUCAGGUAGGGAUACCCGCUGAACUU